AUCACUUCUUGGCCUUUAGGCUAAGAUCAAGUGUAGUAUCUGUUCUUAUCAGUUUAAUACUUAAGAAAGAUAAUGAAGUACAUUUUGUCUAUUUUAAAAUUUUAGCACUU
RNAcentral lists this small nuclear RNA (110 nucleotides) under Cavia porcellus (domestic guinea pig). RNAcentral describes it as "U2 spliceosomal RNA". It matches the Rfam family "U2 spliceosomal RNA". Rfam says of the family: U2 is a small nuclear RNA (snRNA) component of the spliceosome (involved in pre-mRNA splicing). Lineage: Eukaryota; Metazoa; Chordata; Mammalia; Rodentia; Caviidae. The record is from Rfam by way of RNAcentral.